This is a non-coding RNA of Desmophyllum pertusum, 80 nucleotides long. NCBI's taxonomy places the organism in Eukaryota, Metazoa, Cnidaria, Anthozoa, Scleractinia, Caryophylliidae. The record is from the annotation of a GenBank genome assembly.
GCCGUAGCUCAGUUGGUUAGAGCGCCUGUCUAGUAAACAGGAGGUCAAAGGUUCAAAGAUUGAAAUUAAUUUUAGAAUUU